CAUCCUCCAUCUGCUGCGGACAGAUGUAAUGGAUAUGGCUGUCGAACCCGCCCGCCGUCAGGAUGCGCCCCUCGCCCGCGAUCACCUCGGUCCCCGGUCCGACGAUAAUGCUGACACCGGGUUGCGUGUCGGGAUUGCCCGCCUUGCCGAUGGCAUGGAUGCGCCCGUCGCGCAGACCCACAUCGGCCUUGUAGAUGCCCGUCCAGUCCACGAUCAGGGCAUUGGUGAUGACCGUAUCGACGGCCCCGCCUGCGCGCGUCACCUGGCUUUGGCCCAUCCCGUCGCGGAUG
RNAcentral lists this small RNA (290 nucleotides) under Rhodobacteraceae bacterium EhC02. RNAcentral's name for it is "5' ureB small RNA". It matches the Rfam family "5' ureB small RNA". Lineage: Bacteria; Pseudomonadati; Pseudomonadota; Alphaproteobacteria; Rhodobacterales; Paracoccaceae. The record is from Rfam by way of RNAcentral.